GUUGCAUAUAGAACAGCACUAGGGAUUGGGCAGGGAAUAGAGAGAAUUUUCACUAGGUCCUAAAACUGAGAUUGGGUAUUAUGGGUUGAUUGCAGAAGUUGAUAGAGUCUUUUAAAUUCUUUAAAAUUGCUGAAGGCAUUGCAUAAGAUGAGAUAAAUCUUAUUAUAGCAUGUUUAUACAAGUGUAUGGAUACAUACACAAUUUAUCUAUGUGUGCCUGCAGGUUGCAUGUAUUUCUGGUUUACUUAGCUUUCAUCAGAUGCUAAAGCAUAUUACAUGUUUAACAAUUUUAACUGCCUUGAUUCUUGGCUUAU
This 313-nucleotide unclassified non-coding RNA is filed under the name Hevea brasiliensis (rubber tree). The record is from RNAcentral. Lineage: Eukaryota; Viridiplantae; Streptophyta; Magnoliopsida; Malpighiales; Euphorbiaceae.